GGAGGGGCAGGAAAGUGAAGUUUGGGUGAAAAAAGUGAGAUUUUGGGGUUUGUGGUUCGGGGAGUUUUGGCCUUUUUGCAGCCUGACCCCAAAGCAGCAGGACUGAAAUAUUGGGGGGGGGGAUAAAUAGGAAGAAAUGGGGGAAAGCAACGCAGGGAAGCGGGGGGGGGAGGGGAAAAAUGAAAUAAAAUUGAUGGGAAAAGGCGAAAAAAUGGAAAAAGGAAAAAAAUGGGAGAAAAACGGAAGGAAAUAAGAGCGGAAAAUGAGAAAAAUGCUUCAAAGAGGCGGAAAGAGCUCCCUUAAAAACGGAAAGAGGCGGCAGGAAAUCGCGGCGUUUUGGGGUUUUCCACCCUAAAAUGGGGAAGGAAGCAGAAAAACGGGCAAACGCUGAAGGAAAAGUUUGGUUUGGGGGUGAAACCGGCAGGUUUUGGUUGAAUUUGGGCUGAAAAGCCGCGGGUUGGGAGAAAGAGGAGAAAAGAAAGCGCGGGGGGGGGGAAAAAGGGGAAAAAAAAAAGGGGGGGGGGGGGAGUUAAAUAACGGGAAUCCCCAAACCUGAGGAAAAUUGGGGUGGAAAACGGUGAUUUGGGGCAAAACGGGGAUAAAAAUUGUCCGCUGUCAUCUGUCCCCCCCACGAUGACGUCACAGCAUUGCAUGGUGACGUCACAGGGCCCCAAAUGACGUCACAGGGCCCCAAUGGCGUCACAGGGCAGCCAUGAUGGCGUGGCACAGCGCGAUGACGUCACAGCCGCAACCGAUGGCGGCCUGACGCCGAGUGAUGACGUCACAGCUCCAAGUCCUGGCUUCAGAGCGCUGGGUGACGACAUCGAGGCACCCGAUGAUGACGUCACAGCGCCAAGCGAUGACGUCACCGCACCAAAUGACAUCACCGCUCCAAGCGAUGACGUCACAGCUCCGAAUGAUGACGUCACUGCUCCGAACGAUGACACCACAGCUCCAAGUGAUGACGUCAUGGCUCCGAUGACGUCACCACUCCAAAUAAUGGCAUCAGAGCUCUGAACGAUGACAUCAGAGCUCCAAGCGAUGACGUCACAGCUCCGAUGACGUCACCACUCCAAGUGAUGACAUCACCGCUCCGAAUGAUGACAUCACAGUGCCAGGUGAUGACGUCACACCUCCAGGGGGUGAUGUCACAGCACCAAAUGAUGACAUCACAGCUCCGAAUGAUGACGUCACACCUCCAGGGGGUGACACCACGACAGCAAAUGAUGACGUCACAGCUCCAAGCAAUGACGUCACAGUGCCAAGUGAUGACGUCACCGCGCCAAAUGAUGACGUCACGGCACCCCAUCUCCAAGCGAUGGCAUCGCGGCGCCAAAUGAUGACAUCACAACACCGCGCGAUGACGUCACAGCACCGAACAAUGAAACACCGCGCGAUGACGUCACAGCACCGAACAAUGACGUCACAGCACCGAACGAUGACGUCACAGCACCGAACCAUGACGUCACAGCACUGAAUGAUGACGUCACAGCACUGAAUGAUGACGUCACAGCCCUGAACGAUGACGUCACAGCACCGAACGCUGACGUCACAGCCCCGCUGACGCCACCGACGGCGCCCCGCCCCCAAGCGAUGACGUCACAGCUCCAAGCGAUGACGUCCCAGGCACCGACCAAUGCCGUCGCGGCGCCGAUGGAUGACGUCACAGCACCUUCCUCCCCAGCCUGCGGAACACGCUGACCCCCCCGGCGCCGUCCAUCCGCGCUCCAGGACCCCCCCAACCCCGGUGCAGCCGCACCGCCCCCCCCGGGGGGG
This is a long non-coding RNA of Chrysolophus pictus (golden pheasant), 1776 nucleotides long. The record is from Ensembl. NCBI's taxonomy places the organism in Eukaryota, Metazoa, Chordata, Aves, Galliformes, Phasianidae.